GACGAACGCUGGCGGCGUGCUUAACACAUGCAAGUCGAACGGAAAGGCCCUGCUUUUGUGGGGUGCUCGAGUGGCGAACGGGUGAGUAACACGUGAGUAACCUGCCCUUGACUUUGGGAUAACUUCAGGAAACUGGGGCUAAUACCGGAUAGGAGCUCCUGCUGCAUGGUGGGGGUUGGAAAGUUUCGGCGGUUGGGGAUGGACUCGCGGCUUAUCAGCUUGUUGGUGGGGUAGUGGCUUACCAAGGCUUUGACGGGUAGCCGGCCUGAGAGGGUGACCGGCCACAUUGGGACUGAGAUACGGCCCAGACUCCUACGGGAGGCAGCAGUGGGGAAUAUUGCACAAUGGGCGGAAGCCUGAUGCAGCAACGCCGCGUGCGGGAUGACGGCCUUCGGGUGGUAAACCGCUUUCGCCUGUGACGAAGCGUGAGUGACGGGAAUGGGUAAAGAAGCACCGGCCAACUACGU
RNAcentral lists this ribosomal RNA (467 nucleotides) under uncultured bacterium. RNAcentral describes it as "partial 16S ribosomal RNA". It matches the Rfam family "Bacterial small subunit ribosomal RNA", at positions 28 to 506 of the family's 1533-position model. The record is from RNAcentral.